RNAcentral lists this ribosomal RNA (216 nucleotides) under Glomeromycotina sp. Its description in RNAcentral is "partial small subunit ribosomal RNA". The stretch from base 44 to 216 matches the Rfam family "Eukaryotic small subunit ribosomal RNA", at positions 690 to 864 of the family's 1831-position model. The record is from RNAcentral. Lineage: Eukaryota; Fungi; Glomeromycota.
GGGUCAGUAGGUUGGUCGUGCCACCGGUACGUACUGGUCUCACUGCUUCCUCCUUCCUGAAGAACCGUAAUGCCAUUAAUUUGGUGUCGCGGGGAAACAGGACUGUUACUUUGAAAAAAUUAGAGUGUUUAAAGCAAGCUAACGCUUGAAUACAUUAGCAUGGAAUAAUGAAAUAGGACGAUCGAUCCUAUUUUGUUGGUUUCUAGGAUUGACGUA